UGACACUGAGACACGAAAGCUAGCGGAGCGAAGCAGAUUAGAGACCUGCGUAGUCCUAGCCGUAUACGCAUGCUCGCUAGCUGCAUGAAUCUACCUUCGGGUGGUAUCGUGUGACGAAGGUAACCCGUUAAGCAAGCCGCCUGGAAAGUACGGCCGCAAGGCUGAAAUUCAAAGGAAUUGGCGGGGAGGCACACAACCAGUGGAACAUGUGGUUUAAUUCGAGACUAACGCGAAGAACCUCACCAGGGUUUGACAUGUAGCUGCACGUCUUAAGAAAUUAAGACUCUCAUGUAAGGUGCUACACAGGUGCUGCAUGGCUGUCGUCAGCUCGUUCCGUGAGGAGUGCCCUUAUGUGGGACAACGAGCGCAACCCCUAUUACAUGUUAGAAAUGUCAUGUAAGAUCUGCCUUGCCAUCCGGCGGGGAUGGAAGGAGGGGUCAGACGUCAAGUCCGCAUGGUCCUUAUGCCAUGGGCUACACACAUGUUACAAUGAGUACGGCAAUGACGUCUGUCACGAGCACGUAAGUGUAAGCUAAUCUCUCAAAUGUACUCUCAGUGGGGAUUGAGGUCGGCAACUCGACAUCAUGAACACGAACUCGGUAGUACUCGCGGGUCAGCUAUACCGCGGUGAAUACGUUCUUGCCUCACGCACACACCGCCCGUCUAACCAGCAAAGUCGAUUGUAUCC
Molecule: ribosomal RNA, 688 nt
Filed under: uncultured organism
Description: bacterial SSU rRNA
Rfam family: Bacterial small subunit ribosomal RNA
Source: RNAcentral